RNAcentral lists this non-coding RNA (160 nucleotides) under uncultured Anaeroplasma sp. The record is from RNAcentral. Lineage: Bacteria; Bacillati; Mycoplasmatota; Mollicutes; Anaeroplasmatales; Anaeroplasmataceae.
AGUAAUGUUAUGGGUGAAGGAAGCAUCUAGUGAAGUUUGAAAGCCUACGCAUAGAAACUUGAUGAGGCUAAAUGGUGGAUAAGGUUCUUUCCAAACUAAAGUCCAAAAGGUAAAUUUAAAACCAAGACAGUAAAUCAAGAGGUUUUAAAACGAAAGAUUA